Cynara cardunculus var. scolymus (artichoke) is the source of this 3671-nucleotide long non-coding RNA. RefSeq lists it as uncharacterized. The record is from RefSeq and is a predicted model, not a curated record. The transcript is spliced from 6 exons. Lineage: Eukaryota; Viridiplantae; Streptophyta; Magnoliopsida; Asterales; Asteraceae.
CGAGUGGAGGAACUACGAAAUUGAUGACCAAGCUCGAUCGAGUGGAGAUUUCGAAGAUUCAACCAAGAAAUCAAGUUUUGCAGCAAUUUGUUUGAAACAUGGUUGCCAACAGUAUUACUCAUCCUUCUCAUUGGGACGUUGUCAAUAGAAAUCUCUAAGGUAGAACUGUCAGGUAUCUCUGUUCUCCUGGGGACGUUGUCAAUAGAAAUCCUACUCAUCCUUCUCUCACCCGGGGAAGGAUCAUCUGCACUCCUCCAUGAUGUCAGGUAUCUCUGUUCUCCUGUUAUGAGGUUCUUGCCCAAUUUCAUUCCUGGUAUAAAGGUAUCUCCAGAGUAAUCAAAACUUUGCCAAAUGAAAUUUUCCUUCCAGACAUUUUUUUCAUCCUUAUAAUCAAAGCUUUGCCAAAUCAAACUUUCAUUGCUUAUAGUAUCCUCAUCCUUGAUUACUAGAGUACCACCAUUUAAGAGUUGUGCCAUGKGCAUGAUAUUUGUGCUGGAUGCCGAGGAAUUGGAUGACCAAAUGAUGUCUGUGCUGCCACAAUUGACAAGAGACAGGAUAUCUUUGCUGUCCAAUUUGAAAAUGCCUGAGGUAUCGAAGAGUGGAGUUUCCUGGUUAUCAACCCAUACAACUGUAUGAGGUGAUGUGUUCUUAAACCAUAUYCCCAGUAUCGAUUUUCUGAACUUCCUGGGCUAAAGAAACCCAUCUCGAAUUUUUAGUUCUCCGAAACAAUGGUCUCACCAUCUGUGAUGUUUUGAUACACAGCUAUGGUGUCUGCUGAACUACAAGCUGUUAGCAUGAGAAAGAAGGUAACAGAAGGGAGUAMUAUUAUGGCUUGAUUCAUAUCAAUCAACUGAUUGAWUUUUCCUUACAAUUUAUUUGGUCUUCUAUGCAUUMAAAUGCUAAACCUCAUCAAGUGGUGAAUUUUUAGAACUUCAAAUGGGAUUGUGCAAAUAAAACUGAAAGCUAAAAAGACCAAGCCGGCAUAAUUGAAUUGUAUAUCUUCAAUUUUCUCCCUUGCUUUAAAUGGGUAAAUGAUACAGUAAUUAUUCAUCAAGUUGAAGAGUCCACACCAGUAGGACCAGCAGCCACCGUCUUUGUUUAGAGUUUUUAUUUAUUUUUAGUUUAGUUGCUUUUACCUUUUACCACGUCUUCCCACGUUGGAAUCGAUUUGGUCUUCCAUCUCAUUCGAGCAUCUCCAACAGAUUCUCUAAAAUAGARAAAAUGGAGGUUUUGUUCUCUAUUUUGCUCCAACAAGAGAAAACUCCAAGUUUAGAGAAUUCUCUAAAACUUGAUGGAAGGAAAGAGAAAUGAUUUUUUAUUCAUUCCCACGAAUGAGAUUGAAUUAUUAUUAUUUUAUAUAAAUUUGCUAAUGUUAGGUCUUGUGAGCCUGUAAAAGGUUCAUUUAUUCAGCACUAUAAAAGCAAGCRGYUUUCAGCUYAUUCUUCUCUCUUUAUUUUAUUUUUUUGUUUCUGCUUUGUUUUCUUGUUCUUCAGAUCCAGUGGCAGAUUUAAGAAGGGGMCACUGAGGUCCCAUGCCACUAUGAACUUGUUUGUUGUAAUGUAAAUUUUUUACCAUCCUCAACGGUGCUAAAACUAUGAUUCAGUUUGUGCUACCAUUACCAAUAMUGGAGCCAGCUACCUUUGUUGCAGAGCGUUGUCUCUGGAAAACUUGUUAAUAAAUAUGCACUACGAAGUAAAAACAAAAGAGUUGCAUGGAAAUAAACAAGAACAGAGUUGAGGCCUGUGUUGAAUAUAUACACAAAAAAGUCUGGAAAGAUUCUUACUCUUUAAAGAAAGUACCAAAGUUUAUCAUGGUCAACCUCAGUGCAACAUUCGUACCAGCAAAACUUGGGCUCACACGCAAGUUUAAUGAUCUGAAGUCAUUUCAUUCGAAGUUUGGCACCCCUAACGCUUGGUGAUUUUAUUCUUGCAACUAUGGAAUUGUAUAGGAAGUAAAUAUUUGUUUCCUUUCCCACCUAUGGAAAUUUAUCUUGAUCUCUACUAGAAAGAUCAAAGGUUUAACUAUUCUGUWAUGCUGCAUACUACCAUGCCAGAAAACAAGCUGAAAAAAGAACAUUAAGAUACACAGUUCCAUACAGCAUCACGAAGCUUGUUUGGAGCACUAACAUCAAGCUACCRACUGGAUGUGUUUACAGAGACAAAGCCAUGAAACCSAUGAUUAGGAUCUUAAUURGGGAAAUUUGAAGGAGACAGAUGGGAUACUCCACAACAGGUAUGUACAUCACACAUAAACACAUGUAAUCUAUCUAGCAUACAUUAGUGUUAUCAUAUAUUCAUCAAUUGAUGAAACAGAGUCCUGCUCUCGGUAACUUUCUUCGAUGAAAAAAGCUGGMUGUUUCGGUGGAGGMAAAAYACCCUCACUAACRAGCAUCAAAACCACUGACAACAUAGUUGGCCUAUCUUCUGCAUGAUGUUGCACACACAAUAACCCRACAUGUAUUGAUCGUAGUACUUCUGAGACAAUGCAUGAAUUGCGUAAAGAUUCACUCAUGAUUUCAAUGGACUUGUCUUCUUUAUAGAGUCUCCAUGCCUGAAGAAAUCAAACUUCAUAUUUAUAAGUAUGCUAAAAGAGCAAGGUUUAAAGAAUACGCUUAGUUCCUUGUGGAGUUCAUAGGGUUUAGUCUACCAGAAUAACUUACAUGUCCAAGAAGGUUGUCACUGUGAUCUCCAUGAGAGAACCCUCUGUUUUUCUUCCCGCUCACUAUCUCCAGCACAAGAACACCGAAGCUAAAAACAUCUGACUUUAUAGAGAAGCGUCCGUGUACUGCAUAUUCAGGAGAAAUGUAACCGCUGCACAAAGUUCAACGAUAUAAACAUACAGAUUCUUACUAUGUUCCAACAACCUUCUUCGUCUUAGCCAUGGCAUCCUGCCCUACAAACUUUCGAGCAAGGCCAAAGUCGGAUAUUUUUGGAUUCAUAUCACUGUCCAGCAAAAUAUUACCUGCCUUGAGAUCUCGAUGGAUGAUUUGAAGGCAAGAAUCUUGAUGUAGAUAAAGAAUACCUCGAGCCAUACCAUGKAUAAUUUGAAAGCGUUGAGGCCAGUCAAGCAUUGAACUUCUGCUUUCAUCUGCCCAAUAUGAACUACUUAGUCCAUGUAUGCUGCUGAUCUAUGUGUGAAUUUUCCAAGAAAUUCAACAAGAAGACUACAAGAUAUGUGAAAUAUCCAAGAAGCUUCACAAGGUUCCGAUGCUGAAGUUUUGCAAUACAAAUGACUUCAUUCUUGAACUCAUCAAUCCCUUGUUGAGAUGUUUCUGAGAGCCGCUUCACAGCUACAUUUCUUCCAUCUUCCAACACACCCUAAAAGUUUAAGCAUAUGCUAUCGUCGACAGAAGCAGUGCAGCAGAUGAAAUUGUCAGCACCACGAUGAGUACUUCUUUCUUGAUGAAGCGGGAUUGAGAGACCAUGCGGCCUUUUGUUAAAGGAUACAAUAGUUAGUAAUUUGUAGGAUCAAAAUGUGGUGUACCUGCUAACUCAGAGGCUGCCAUUCUUACGUAAAGUUCUUGCUUUUCAUCAUAUUCUCUUAUGUCCAUCAGUUCAUCAAACCAUAGCAAACAUCCACUUCCACCGUUUCUGAUAUCUAAUUGUGCAUAAGCGGUACAAGAGCAAUCCCUUUUGCAAGUCAUCUCACAUUCGGCAAGUGUCAUGCUCACA